ACUAUAAGAGAAGUGUGUUGUGACACCACAGCGACCAUGCCCAUCCAAGUGCCCCUGGCCAUUGGACCACCAAGUUUGGCGGAGACCGAGAGGAGCACUUCUUCAAUCAUGUGUCUGAAGUUUUGACCUUGUAGAGCUCAGAACAGGGAUUCACCAUUCAUCCUCUCCUCGACAAAUCCUAAUGAAAGCACUCCACUUAACCACUGGAGCUCCCUUCUGGUUUAAUGAGGAUGACAUGCUGCAUAUCUGGAGAUGGUGGUGGAUCACGCUGAUGGAGCGUUCCCAGAGACUAACCAAUCAUGAAACACUCGCUAUGAUAACUGCAUCUCUUCUAUAUAUGGAUGUUUAAAGUCCUGGACAGAGAUUUGCCCACUGGACCAGUGAAGCCAGAGUGUUGCUCCAAGGGACUCUGCAGCCGAUAUACAGGAUCCCAGAGG
Long non-coding RNA from Synchiropus splendidus (mandarinfish), 437 nucleotides. RefSeq lists it as uncharacterized. Lineage: Eukaryota; Metazoa; Chordata; Actinopteri; Syngnathiformes; Callionymidae. The record is from RefSeq and is a predicted model, not a curated record. The transcript has 3 exons.